This 253-nucleotide ribosomal RNA is filed under the name uncultured bacterium. RNAcentral's name for it is "partial 16S ribosomal RNA". It matches the Rfam family "Bacterial small subunit ribosomal RNA", at positions 524 to 776 of the family's 1533-position model. The record is from RNAcentral.
UACAGGGGGUGCAAACGUUGCUCGGAAUUAUUGGGCGUAAAGCGCGCGUAGGCGGCUACUUAAGUCGGAUGUGAAAGCCCCUGGCUCAACUGGGGAAGUGCACCCGAAACUGAGUAGCUUGAGUGCAAAAGAGGGCCGCGGAAUUCCCGGUGUAGAGGUGAAAUUCGUAGAUAUCGGGAGGAACACCGGUGGCGAAGGCGGCGGCCUGGGUUGACACUGACGCUGAGGCGCGAAAGCGUGGGGAGCGAACAGG